AUGAAGCAGGAGAAGGGGCAGGGCGGCGGGAGGAAGCUGGGGCGGUGGCUGGGCGCGCCGGUGCGGGCGCUGUCGCGGGCGUGCGACUCGUACGUGCGCAAGAUGUCGGCGUGCGCGGGGGCCAUGCCCACGCAGUACGCGGGCGCCGUGGGCCGCGGCGGGGCCGGGGCCAUGCGCAUGCAGGCGGCCACCUUCAGCUCGCGCUCCACGCGGCGCGGGGACGACGACGUCGGCGAGCUGGUCCGCGCCAUGUCCCAGCGCCAGCAGGGCAGCGGCGCCUCCCCCGCGGCCACGGCCGUGCCGCCCAGGAGCCGGAGCGUGGGGGUGGGCACGAUCGACGAGGACGCGCCGUGCGACUUCGGCGCCGACGCCGGCCGCGUCGGCCUGCCGCCCCCGGCCGUGCGCAGGAGCCGCAGCGCCGCCGUCGGGAGCGGCCUCCCGCCGCGCGUCGGCGGCGGCGGCGGGUUCGGCGCCGCGACGAUCAAGAAGGCCCCAGCCGCCGCCGCCGCCGUGCACGGCGGCUAG
Molecule: ribosomal RNA, 525 nt
Filed under: Triticum aestivum (bread wheat)
Lineage: Eukaryota; Viridiplantae; Streptophyta; Magnoliopsida; Poales; Poaceae
Description: partial small subunit ribosomal RNA
Source: RNAcentral